CUUGGUAACCUCCUUUUCAAAUGAACAUGGAAGAACAUGCAGAUGAAGUCAAAUCUCUGUUGACUGGUUUGUGACCAACUUGACAGACUUCCCGGGAAUCUUUUCAUCUGACAGUUGCAAGAACCACAUGAUACUGAAAUCCAUAUGGUUCCACCAUAUCUUUUUGGAGAUGACAAGUACUGGGUGUAAUGAUCAAAAUGUCCGCACACCACGCAUUAACACAAUGUUCAGCUGACAAUCCACUUGCUGAAGACUGGAGACCUUUUGGAAGUCUCUAUCAUAGCUCCCUGGGGGACUACCUUAGUAAAAUUCCUCCGGUAUGUAACUGGCCUUUUAUUCUUGGUCAUUUACCCUGUCGUUUCAAAAAUAAUUUAUGUAUGCAAGGACUUUCUCUUCUUAUGUGUAACAGAUUUGGUUCUUUAAGAGUCUCACAAAGGAAUAUCUUCAGAUCCUUUUAUAUCAAUCUGCUCCACCUAUUUUUUGCUCUUUCAAAGAGCUUUGAUCUGUGAGACAUGACUCUUAGUACAAAAUUAAAAUCUACACCUACUUGUUGUAUUAGAUUUGUAUCUUCUGUACUUUCUUCUAGAUCCAACCGCUUUAUCUAGCAUGAAAAUUGUCAUCUGCAGUUUCCAGUUUCCCUGAGAUCUUUCCAAAAGUUGACAUCAUUUUUGGUGCCAAAGCUACAACUUGCAGAGCAUAGAUUUUUAUGGACAUGUGGAUGAGUUCAGUCCGGGCGGGUUUGUUCAGGCAUACUCUGCUGGCUCAGCCUUGAAGUUGCUCUUAAACAAAUUCCACUCUGCAGAGAAAGACUGCAAAAUGGAAAUCUUGUGUAUAAUGGUCAAUAACACACACCUAUCAUUUAACUAGUUUGUUAUUGUUUUAUCUUUUUUAAUUUUUUUCCUAACAUUUUGAUCAUCACUGGUUACCACUAGCUGGCCUUCUAGUUCUGUGCUGGGGAAGAGAUGAGUUGUUUUUUUUUUUUUUUUUCUCACCCCC
This 996-nucleotide long non-coding RNA is filed under the name Phasianus colchicus (ring-necked pheasant). Its description in RNAcentral is "lncRNA (ENSPCLG00000019608.1)". Lineage: Eukaryota; Metazoa; Chordata; Aves; Galliformes; Phasianidae. The record is from RNAcentral.